This is a long non-coding RNA of Vigna unguiculata (cowpea), 398 nucleotides long. Lineage: Eukaryota; Viridiplantae; Streptophyta; Magnoliopsida; Fabales; Fabaceae. The record is from RefSeq and is a predicted model, not a curated record.
CAGAAAUCAGCAGCCGUCGCCCUUCCGCACUAGAGCUCUGCUAGGGUUUGUUCUUGUCUCGAACCAGUUCGUCCCAACUAACGAUUCCUGCUCCACUUCCUAGGUCCAUCACUCGAGCUGCUGUGCUCCAAGGUCCCGCGUCGAAGUUCUGUUAGCCGCUUUCCAGAUGGGCGAAGUUCUCGUGGUCAGCAGGGAAACGGUGAUCCAGCAGCUUAGCCAUUUGGGCUAGUUCUCACGCUUCUUCUUUUCAUGUUUUCUUUAGGGCUAUGGCCCCUGUAUUCGUAGUUGUUAGAUUGUAAACUCUUAAAUAAGCGGUUAUCCUGCUUUUAGUUGGCAUCGUGGUGUGCCUGGUUUUGUAGGGGUGACGUUAUGAACCCCAGGACUGCAUUGUUGUUUUA